AUCUAUUGGUAUUUCAUAUGGAUGCACUAUAUUCCUUCUUGUUUUUAACAGAGAUACAAAGCCAGAAAUUUCAUAGACAAGGAUUGUUCAAUUAGCCCUACUACUACUUGACAUACAAGGGAUUGAAUAUGAGAAUAUGUAAAAACAUGUUCA
Molecule: long non-coding RNA, 153 nt
Organism: Octopus sinensis (East Asian common octopus)
Lineage: Eukaryota; Metazoa; Mollusca; Cephalopoda; Octopoda; Octopodidae
Exons: 3
Source: RefSeq, a predicted model, not a curated record